Long non-coding RNA from Cyprinodon tularosa, 1472 nucleotides. RefSeq lists it as uncharacterized. NCBI's taxonomy places the organism in Eukaryota, Metazoa, Chordata, Actinopteri, Cyprinodontiformes, Cyprinodontidae. The record is from RefSeq and is a predicted model, not a curated record. The transcript is spliced from 3 exons.
CAUAAAAUCUGUAGAUUUACCCUAACUUCAUAGAAGAAAUCUACCAAAAGACCCCCGUAAUCAAAAACAGGAAGUAAAGCAGACCACAUGUGACAUCCUGUAAAUUUAGAACGCACCCAGGCUUCACUGGCGUGGAUCAUCUCUUAGAUACCCAACAUGGUAUUUUACACCUAUAAAUUCCUUUUCUAUGUGCUGAUCCUAUCUGUAUCUGUUGGCACUCACAAUGACAAGAACUCCACCCUUUCGGACAACGUCCCCAUUUUUAUAAACAACCUUCGUGUAUUUUUGAUUUUUGUCAUUAUAGUCACCACUAUGUGUGUUGUAUCACAUCUUGUGGCUAAAGGAAAAUGCCAGAAAAAAAAAGCGGUUUCUCCUCCACUUAAUGCACAUAUCUAUGAAAAUGACUUUUAGGCUCCAUUUGACAGCAAUAUAUGACAGCUUUUUGUGUCUUGUUUUUAUGAGUGUUUUAGCGGCUUUGUUGCAUAUUAGCAGUAACACAUAAGUGGAAUUAAGCAAUAGAAAUUGUAUUUGGCAUCACGCUGCCACCUGCUUGGUUUCCUGCUCUUUAAAUACUGUAACCCAAACUGAUGUAGAAGUGAAACUGAAUGACUAUAACCCUGCCUUUGUCUAAUUUACAUAGAAUAGUAAGACAGAGAACAGGUGUUAGCCGUUUCCUGUGCAGUUAAAACUUUUAUAGAUAUCCUGUACAAAGGUAGAAAUGGUAAAUCAAGUCUAGUUCUGUUUUUAGUUUUUACUCAAGAUGUAAUUAUAUAAACUGUUCUAUGAAGUCUUUGUAAAGGAAACAGUUAAUUACCAUCUUUGCCAGAUGGUGUUGGCCAUACUGUGACUCAUGACCUGUAUCUAUGUUGAAUUACACCCAUAAAGGCCUCCUGAUAGCAUUCCCUAGAGAUGUGUUGUCUUCCCACUCUUCUUUUUUCUGUAGCCAAUGUCUGCAUGCAUUUGUGAAACCCCUGAAGUUUCAAGACGAUGCUACUGCCUAGUGUCUGAUUCGGUACACUGACGAUCCUGCAUAGGGACAGGAUUUGAAUCAGAACCACCUCAAACUUUGUCGUUCACACAUCCUCACCCCUUCAUCCUCUACAACACAUUGUUGGCUGAAGAUCGCUUUUGGUGCUUAAGAUCCACCCCAGUCUUUACACAAUGAAGGCCCAGCAGAGACUAUACAUCCUGUGGAUACUAAAGAAGUAAAACCACCAACAUCAUCUUCUACCCAGGAAUAUUUUUGUCCAUCCUGUUUUCACCCUUUACUGCAUGGUUUGGUAUUUUCACAAAACAAGGCAGGUGUAGAGUACAACAAUCAGGUCUAAUGGAAGGAUCAUCCAGUCUGACCCCUCUAAAUCCAGGACUUGUACAGAUAAAGGGUCAGGAAAAGGACUGCCAGCUGUUUCCAAAGUCAAACUCCUUGAUUGUGAAUGUGGUUAUAGCCUAAUUCAGCUGAUUCUGAAAACAAG